UUUCCGUAGGUGAACCUGCGGAAGGAUCAUUCAUAAUAAAGUGUUUUAUGGCACUUUUUAAAAAUCCAUAUCCACCUUGUGUGCAAUGUUAGAUCUCGUCAAUCUUGGCGAGAUUUUUAUACAUCAACUCAUUCUUUAACUAAUUUGUCUGAAAAAUAUUAUGAAUACUUAAUUCAAAAUACAGCUUUCAACAACGGAUCUCUUGGCUCUC
RNAcentral lists this unclassified non-coding RNA (211 nucleotides) under plant metagenome. Its description in RNAcentral is "partial contains small subunit ribosomal RNA, internal transcribed spacer 1, and 5.8S ribosomal RNA". The record is from RNAcentral.